This 57-nucleotide transfer RNA is filed under the name Hemidactylus mabouia. RNAcentral describes it as "tRNA-Ser". The record is from RNAcentral. Lineage: Eukaryota; Metazoa; Chordata; Lepidosauria; Squamata; Gekkonidae.
GUGGGUGAAUUACUAGACUGCUAAUCCUGUGCCCCAGAGAUAACACCCUGGCACCCG